CCUACGGGUGGCAGCAGUGGGGAAUAUUGCACAAUGGGCGCAAGCCUGACCCAGCAACGCCGCGUGAAGGAAGAAGGCCUUCGGGUUGUAAACUUCUUUUCUCAGGGACGAAGCAAGUGACGUUACCUGAGGAAUAAGCCACGGCUAACUGCGUACCAGCAGCCGCGGUAAUACGUAGGUGGCAAGCGUUAUCCGGAUUUACUGGGUGUGAAGGGCGUGUAGGCGGGACGGCAAGUCAGAUGGGAAAACAACGGGCUCAACAUGUGGCCUGCAUUUGAAACUGUAGUGCUUGAGUACUGGAGAGGCAGACGGAAUUCCUAGUGUAGCGGUGAAAUGCGUAGAUAUUAGGAGGAACACCAGUGGCGAAGGCGGUCUGCUGGACAGCAACUGACGCUGAGGCGCGAAAGCGUGGGGAGCAAACAGGAUUAGAUACCCUAGUAGUC
Molecule: ribosomal RNA, 443 nt
Filed under: uncultured bacterium
Lineage: Bacteria
Description: partial 16S ribosomal RNA
Rfam family: Bacterial small subunit ribosomal RNA
Source: RNAcentral